CACGGGGGUUGGAGGGCAAGUCUGGUGCCAGCAGCCGCGGUAAUUCCAGCUCCAAUAGCGUAUAUUAAAGUUGUUGCAGUUAAAAAGCUCGUAGUUGAAUUUCGGGAUCAAAUUGUUGGUCGUGCUUCGGCACGCACUGGCAUUAUUGGUUCCUACCUUCUGAAGAACCGCGAUGUCAUUAAUUUGGUGUCGUGGGGAAUCAGGACUGUUACUUUGAAAAAAUUAGAGUGUUUAAAGCAGGCGUACGCUUGAAUACAUUAGCAUGGAAUAAUGAAAUAGGACGUUUGAUUCUAUUUUGUUGGUUUCUAGGAUCGACGUAAUGAUUAAUAGGGAUAGUUGGGGGCAUUAGUAUUCAAUUGUCAGAGGUGAAAUUCUUGGAUUUAUUGAAGACUAACUACUGCGAAAGCAUUUGCCAAGGAUGUUUUCAUUAAUCAAGAACGAAAGUUAGGGGAUCGAAGACGAUCAGAUACCGUCGUAGUCUUAACCAUAAACUAUGCCG
Molecule: ribosomal RNA, 499 nt
Filed under: uncultured Glomus
Lineage: Eukaryota; Fungi; Glomeromycota; Glomeromycetes; Glomerales; Glomeraceae
Description: SSU rRNA
Rfam family: Eukaryotic small subunit ribosomal RNA
Source: RNAcentral